RNAcentral lists this ribosomal RNA (407 nucleotides) under Delocrania panamensis. RNAcentral describes it as "SSU rRNA". It matches the Rfam family "Eukaryotic small subunit ribosomal RNA", at positions 601 to 966 of the family's 1831-position model. Lineage: Eukaryota; Metazoa; Arthropoda; Insecta; Coleoptera; Chrysomelidae. The record is from RNAcentral.
UUAUUAAAGUUGUUGCGGUUAAAAAGCUCGUAGUCGAAUUUGUGUCCCGCGCCGCCGGUUCAUCGUAAGCGGUGUUAACUGGCGUGCCGCGGGACGUCCUGCCGGUGGGCCUAAGUCCGUAAGGGCGUCGGCCCGACCCAAUCCCGCCGCGGUGCUCUUCACUGAGUGUCGAGGUGGGCCGGCACGUUUACUUUGAACAAAUUAGAGUGCUUAAAGCAGGCUAAAACUUCGCCUGAAUACUGUGUGCAUGGAAUAAUGGAAUAGGACCUCGGUUCUAUUUUGUUGGUUUUCGGAACCCCGAGGUAAUGAUUAAUAGGAACGGAUGGGGGCAUUCGUAUUGCGACGUUAGAGGUGAAAUUCUUGGAUCGUCGCAAGACGGACAGAAGCGAAAGCAUUUGCCAAAGAAA